GCCUGCAUGAAGUCGGAAUUGCUAGUAAUCGCGGAUCAGCAUGCCGCGGUGAAUACGUUCCCGGGCCUUGUACACACCGCCCGUCACACCAUGGGAGCCGGUAAUACCCGAAGUCAGUAGUCCAACCUCGUGAGGACGCUGCCGAAGGUAGGAUUGGCGACUGGGGUGAAGUCGUAACAAGGUAGC
Molecule: ribosomal RNA, 186 nt
Filed under: uncultured bacterium
Lineage: Bacteria
Description: partial 16S ribosomal RNA
Rfam family: Bacterial small subunit ribosomal RNA
Source: RNAcentral